GUGGAAUGCUGCUGUCCUUUCACUCAUUUGUGCUGGUCAUGUGUCUCCUCUUUUAUAACUGUUGGACCCCAGUCCACCUGUUUGUUAAAGAGACUGUCAGUUGCAGAGGUGAUGCAGGAAUUCACUUUGUACUGGUUGUCUGGUCACUGUUUCACCUUGAAGACACAAAUUGUACUUCCUGUCACAGAUGCUUUUGAGAACACCAUUUUGGCCCAGACUAAAUGUAAUGCCGGUCCCACCACAAGAUCCGUACCUAGAUCUGCUUCACAGACAGGUUGGCCCAGCAGACAAAUGCCUUCUCUAGACACAUUUGAAGAUUUUGAAGCCAUCCCUUCCAGCAUGGAUGAACUCUCCAACUCUUCUGAUUUGGAGGAAGAGACCAACCCUAACAAUGGGAGCAAUCUCUUCCGGGUCGAAGGCAGUUUUGACAGCUGUUUCCCAGAUUCUCUUUCUCUCGAGGAUGGAGAUUUAGUGCAGUUUGUGCAGGAAGGAGAGAAUGGUCAAUGGUUAGUGAAGAAAUUGGUCUCUGAGAAAAGCGACUGGGUUCCCUCCAGCAUAUUGCAGCCAGCAGAGGGGGACAGUAACAACAUAAUUAAGAGCAGCAAUGCAGACACGUACAACGAUUCCUGCAGCACAGCCUCAGCAGAGUCGGACACGAAGGAAAGUGAGGUGGCCAAAAGCUUCCCAGCAGAACAGAGGGCUGGCAGCUGAACAGCAGGACCAGCCUUCCUCAGGACCUCGUCCACCUGUCUUUAUCUUGGGUGGACAUGGGAUCAAAGUUGCCUUUCUCACAAGCUCUGAGGUUCAUAAUUCACUAAAAUUUUGUCAACAUGAACAGAUGAGAACUGUGCUGUCCACCUGGCAAGCUGGGAAAAACAAACUUGAAAGGAGCAUUAAACAUCCAGAAAACAUCAAACCUAUCUUCAGUAUUAGAGGAGAAAAAUGCUUCUUGCAUUGAUUAUCAAACUGUUUCAGAAGAUGUGGCCUAAAUUAGGUCGACAGCAGAGCUGAAGAGUCUCUAUGCACGCACCUUUUGGCAACUUUGCUUGAGCACCACAUCACUGCAGAGGGGCACGUGGUGGUUACGAGUCCUUGCUCCACCCUGGGGUCACCUGGAGGUUUUUCCAUUUGCUUGCCUCUGGCUGUGCCUUCCCUGUCCUCCUUAAUUCCAGCUGAUACAUCAUCACAAAUGUGCCCUUUUUGCUGUCAGUCAACACCAAAAACACACCACUUGAGGGUGGCUGUGGAAAGGAGACUUCUGGCUGGGACCAUGAGAGAGGCUCCGUGCAGCAGUGCCAUGGCCCAGGAAGGCCCUGCUGCACACAGCAUUCCACACCUGGCAUGCUGCAGGUGGCAGCUCCUGCCUGGGAGGCGCAGGGCUAAGCAGGGAAGUAAAGACAUGUAACAGCUACUGUGACAAAGAACACUCUGAACUCUUUUUACAGUCUGAGUCAUUCCUCUGCCCCCUCUACAGUCUCUGGUUGCUGGAUCAGAACCCUUUGCAUUUGGUGCCGAGAAUUCAGUUGAAUGCCAUUUACUGUCACAUGUUCGAGUAGACUGCAUGCUUUCCUUGUGUGCUGGGCUAUGAGUAGAUACAUUUCACCCCCAUUUGGAAUAUACUUAAGCAUUGCAAAUAGGCAGUGAGCAUUAGAUGCUCCAAUGAGUGGAUAAAGUGUUGUUGUUAAAUACUUCUUUCCAGGAUGUUUGAUGAAAGGACUGUACCAAAUCUCUGCCACAUAAGGAUGUAAUGUAUAAUAUAAAGUGAUUACAGAUGUUAUGAUUCCUAUAGAAGCCAUUAGCUCAUUUAGAGCAGCUGUUAAGGCAUGAAGGCAUUUUGAUGGUAAUUGGGUCUUAGGUCCCACAAAAGCUGCUAGAACUGGUAAAUACUACUAGUAAAGAUAAAUAGCUAAACUAGCUACUUAAACUAGCUGCUAGUAAAGAUAAAUAUUGACUGAGAGCUGCGAACAGGCAAAGAUCAGUCUGGUAAAAAUGAGCCCAGAAGAAGCUCAAGAGUGAAUGAAUGGCUUUCACUCUAAGGGAUGUUUUGUUUAACCCUCGGACUAGUGGUGCUUUAUGUAAAUAAAAAAGGGCACUAAAAGCACUAGAAAUGGAGAUGAAGCAAACCAAAACCCACUCUACUAAGUGAGCCUGUGAGCAAAGCAGUGGGUGUGUGUGUCAUUUCUGCUCUCACCUUCCCAGGGACUCGAAUGUUUUCCUUUGUGUCUCAGUGGAGGCUGGUGUUGCAAGUACCUUAGUGUGGGAGUCAGGAUAGCUGUGGAGCAGGCAGGUAGUCCUGUUUGAGAAAAAGCCUUGGAACAGCUAAAGGGUUAGUCAGAUUUUUUUUUGCCUGUGAAGAGUUACUGCUUGAUUAUAAGUUGCAAUGUGGUGAUCGAAUCCCAUGGCUUUUCUAACCCUCCAUAUCUAAACUCUGUGAUUUUUGACAUUUUCUGUUCAGGACUAAAGGACCUUUCUGGAAGUUUUUUUUGUUCUAUACAGGUAGGAGCUUGCCUGUUUGUGUUGGUCAUUUACCUCAAAAUUGACAUGUAGGCUCUCAGGAACACAAAUCCUCUUGGUCUACUGUGGUUAUCAGCAUCUUGCAGGAAGAAUUGAUUCCUUUCAGUCCCCUAAGGAAAAAUGCAGUGACAUUUUCUUAUAGUGCAAUUACUUUAUCCUCUCUCUAAAAUGAAUUCAUUCUGGUUUCUCUAUUACUUUCAGUAAAUUUUGCACAGGGACAGUGCUGCUGUUUACCCCUGCCCUAAGCAUAGGAGAGGGAAGGGCUAGGGAGCUUUGUUUGCACAUUAUGAGUAUAGUAACCUUUUGUGUGUGGGAGAGAGAGAUAGGCAAGGGUUACCCUGAGUGUAUGAAACUGCCAAAUUGAAGAUUUGUGACAUUGCAGAUGGAUGGAAAGACAAAGGAGCAACCUUCUGGCUUUGCUGAUGAGACAAAAUUGGGUUUGAUGACUUUUUGAGUUUUUUAAAUAGUACGCAGGACAGUCUUUUAAUUAGUGUAUUUCUGUCAAGCAAAGUGAUAAUUAAGGGAAUGACUCUCCGUGUUCAGUCUAGAAGAUGAUUUGGUAAAGUCCAGCAACCCUAAUGUGUGUUAGGGUAUGCCUAUUCUGUCUGUAGGUCUUUGACACCAUCCUAUUCAGGGAGAUGGACCUAAAAAUCAUAGUUUUCAAAUAAGGAUUUCAUUUCAGUGUUGUUUGGAGAUGCUCUAGUGACCAUUUAGAAGUCAUUUAAAGGUAAUGGUUGUGACUAAGAUUUGGCUGUAGAAGACACCAGAUCCCAGGUAAAUCUGUGCUGCAGCAGCCCUUGCUGCUGGCCCCGUGCCUGGCUCUGCUCCUGGGCCUGGGCUGGCCACACCUGCCCUCCAGGCUGAGGGUUUGCCUGGGCUCUCUUCUCUUUGCUCUGCUGCUCUUCUGUGAAACUUCAGAAACUUCACAUCCUCAGAACUGCCCUCGAAAGUGCCCACUCAGGUGCAGGUGGGCUGCAGAGUCCUUCCCUGGCACCAAUGGUGAACAGAGGGCAGUUGCACGACACACAAGUCUUGCUUUUAGUAAACCAGGCUAGAAUAGAAUCAGGCCUGAUCCUCUCUUCUCACCUGGAACCCCACCAGGUGGAGAACCAGACCAGUGCUCGUUGUCUUGAACACAAUCAGCUGCAGCCAAACCACUUCUGAGCUCUGGCUUUCCUCACCAAUGACAGCAAAGCUCUGUGUGUGUCAUGUUCUGGUCGUGUGUGUGAUGAGAAGCCAUUUUAUUAUCUAUGAUUUUCUUAGAGUCUUGAUAUUUCAAACAGGAUUGGGUAUGAGAAAGGCCAUGUGCUUCCUUUCCAAAAAUACUCAAAGACUUCAAAUAUAUAUAUGUGUGAUUAGAAAUAUAUAAGAAUAAUAAGAAAAAAGAUCCAAAAUAUGUAUUUCUUCUUGCAGCUGGACUGAAAUAGCUGCUAAGAUUUCCUCUCCCCAGCUGAGAAUUGGUACAGUUUGUUUUCUUACAUGAUUUCCAUGGUGUUGAUAAUGAUGUAUUUGUAUAUUGUGAUCACAGAAUUACCUGUCCUUUUUUCCAGUCAACACAGAAUGUAUGAAUUUAUUACAAGAAAAAAAGUGUGCAAAUGAACUUCCUGUAAUUAGGCCAUUCUGACCUGUGUAGAACCACACUUUGUUUGAAAUUUAUAAAAAUUAUAACUAGUACAAAACCUUGUGGUUGAUGUCUCUAUAUGAAGCAACAAGUAAAAUGACAUUUUUUUCUAUUUGAAAUACAUGAAUUAUCAGUAAAGGAACAUUAUCAGAGCUGAAAAAAUUGACAUAUUUGUCCAAUAUAAGUUUAAUUUGUCCAACACAUGUAUCAAAAGGCAGAAUAGGGUUUUUUCCAUUACCUAUCUCCCUUAGUCGUGUUCUGAAUCACUGGGAACCUGUGCAAAGGUUCACACAGACAGAGAAAGUCAUAGAUGAAUUUAUAAUAGUUACUCCUG
Molecule: long non-coding RNA, 4469 nt
Filed under: Geospiza fortis (medium ground-finch)
Lineage: Eukaryota; Metazoa; Chordata; Aves; Passeriformes; Thraupidae
Description: lncRNA (ENSGFOG00000005041.1)
Source: RNAcentral